CUAAGCGUACACGGUGGAUGCCCUGGCAGUCAGAGGCGAUGAAGGGCGUGCUAAUCUGCGAUAAGCGCCGGUAAGGUGAUAUGAACCGUUAUAACCGGCGAUACCCGAAUGGGGAAACCCAGUGUGAUUCGUCACACUAUCAUUAACUGAAUCCAUAGGUUAAUGAGGCGAACCGGGGGAACUGAAACAUCUAAGUACCCCGAGGAAAAGAAAUCAACCGAGAUUCCCCCAGUAGCGGCGAGCGAACGGGGAGGAGCCCAGAGCCUGAAUCAGCAUGUGUGUUAGUGGAAGCGUCUGGAAAGGCGCGCGAUACAGGGUGACAGCCCCGUACACAAAAGCGCAUGUGCUGUGAGCUCGAUGAGUAGGGCGGGACACGUGGUAUCCUGUCUGAAUAUGGGGGGACCAUCCUCCAAGGCUAAAUACUCCUGACUGACCGAUAGUGAACCAGUACCGUGAGGGAAAGGCGAAAAGAACCCCGGCGAGGGGAGUGAAAAAGAACCUGAAACCGUGUACGUACAAGCAGUGGGAGCACCCUGUGUGACUGCGUACCUUUUGUAUAAUGGGUCAGCGACUUAUAUUCUGUAGCAAGGUUAACCGAAUAGGGGAGCCGGAGGGAAACCGAGUCUUAACCGGGCGUUAAGUUGCAGGGUAUAGACCCGAAACCCGGUGAUCUAGCCAUGGGCAGGUUGAAGGUUGGGUAACACUAACUGGAGGACCGAACCGACUAAUGUUGAAAAAUUAGCGGAUGACCUGUGGCUGGGGGUGAAAGGCCAAUCAAACCGGGAGAUAGCUGGUUCUCCCCGAAAGCUAUUUAGGUAGCGCCUCGUGAAUUCAUCUCCGGGGGUAGAGCACUGUUUCGGCUAGGGGGCCAUCCCGGCUUACCAACCCGAUGCAAACUGCGAAUACCGGAGAAUGUUAUCACGGGAGACACACGGCGGGUGCUAACGUCCGUCGUGAAGAGGGAAACAACCCAGACCGCCAGCUAAGGUCCCAAAGUCAUGGUUAAGUGGGAAACGAUGUGGGAAGGCCCAGACAGCCAGGAUGUUGGCUUAGAAGCAGCCAUCAUUUAAAGAAAGCGUAAUAGCUCACUGGUCGAGUCGGCCUGCGCGGAAGAUGUAACGGGGCUAAACCAUGCACCGAAGCUGCGGCAGCGACGCUGAUGCGUUGUUGGGUAGGGGAGCGUUCUGUAAGCCUGUGAAGGUGGCCUGUGAGGGUUGCUGGAGGUAUCAGAAGUGCGAAUGCUGACAUAAGUAACGAUAAAGCGGGUGAAAAGCCCGCUCGCCGGAAGACCAAGGGUUCCUGUCCAACGUUAAUCGGGGCAGGGUGAGUCGACCCCUAAGGCGAGGCCGAAAGGCGUAGUCGAUGGGAAACGGGUUAAUAUUCCCGUACUUGGUGUUACUGCGAAGGGGGGACGGAGAAGGCUAUGUUGGCCGGGCGACGGUUGUCCCGGUUUAAGCGUGUAGGUGUGUGUUCCAGGUAAAUCCGGUUCACUUUAACACUGAGGCGUGACGACGAGGCACUACGGUGCUGAAGCAACAAAUGCCCUGCUUCCAGGAAAAGCCUCUAAGCAUCAGGUAACAUCAAAUCGUACCCCAAACCGACACAGGUGGUCAGGUAGAGAAUACCAAGGCGCUUGAGAGAACUCGGGUGAAGGAACUAGGCAAAAUGGUGCCGUAACUUCGGGAGAAGGCACGCUGACACGUAGGUGAAGUGAUUUACUCAUGGAGCUGAAGUCAGUCGAAGAUACCAGCUGGCUGCAACUGUUUAUUAAAAACACAGCACUGUGCAAACACGAAAGUGGACGUAUACGGUGUGACGCCUGCCCGGUGCCGGAAGGUUAAUUGAUGGGGUCAGCGCAAG
This 1860-nucleotide ribosomal RNA is filed under the name Salmonella enterica subsp. enterica serovar Muenchen. RNAcentral describes it as "bacterial LSU rRNA". It matches the Rfam family "Bacterial large subunit ribosomal RNA", at positions 11 to 1899 of the family's 2925-position model. Lineage: Bacteria; Pseudomonadati; Pseudomonadota; Gammaproteobacteria; Enterobacterales; Enterobacteriaceae. The record is from RNAcentral.